GGCUGGUCCAAGUGCAGUGGUUUUUACAGCUAAUUGAUCACAAACAUUUAAGAUUUCUUUGUUGAUUCUCCACUUCUGAUGCUUCACUUGACUAUACUUAA
This is an unclassified non-coding RNA of Gorilla gorilla gorilla (western lowland gorilla), 101 nucleotides long. It matches the Rfam family "Y RNA". From Rfam's summary of the family: Y RNAs are components of the Ro ribonucleoprotein particle (Ro RNP), in association with Ro60 and La proteins. The Y RNAs and Ro60 and La proteins are well conserved, but the function of the Ro RNP is not known. NCBI's taxonomy places the organism in Eukaryota, Metazoa, Chordata, Mammalia, Primates, Hominidae. The record is from Ensembl.